RNAcentral lists this ribosomal RNA (421 nucleotides) under Fusobacteriota bacterium. Its description in RNAcentral is "Fusobacteria bacterium partial 16S ribosomal RNA". It matches the Rfam family "Bacterial small subunit ribosomal RNA", at positions 355 to 776 of the family's 1533-position model. Lineage: Bacteria; Fusobacteriati; Fusobacteriota. The record is from RNAcentral.
AGGGGAAUAUUGCACAAUGGACGGAAGUUUUAUGCAGCGACGACGCGCGGAUGGUGUAGGCCUUCGGGGUGUGAACUCCUUUUUCUCGCGAAAAAGGCACAGUUUUGGCUGUGUCGAUGGUAGUGGGGGAAGAAGCGUUGGCUAACUACGUGCCAGCAGCCGCGGUAAUACGUAGGGCGCGAGCGUUGUCCGGAUUUAUUGGGCGUAAAGAGCUCGUAGUGGGUUCGUCGCGUCUGUCGUGAAAGCCAGCAGCUUAACUGUUGGUCUGCGGUGGGUACCGGCGGGCUUGGGUGCGGUAGGUGUGACUGGAAUUCCUGGUGUAGCGGUGGAAUGCGCAGAUAUCAGGAGAAGCGCCGAUGGCGAAGGCAGGUCACUAGGCCGUUACUGAAACUGAGGAGCGAAAGCGUGGGGAGCGAACAGG